This 251-nucleotide ribosomal RNA is filed under the name uncultured prokaryote. RNAcentral describes it as "partial 16S rRNA". It matches the Rfam family "Bacterial small subunit ribosomal RNA", at positions 525 to 775 of the family's 1533-position model. The record is from RNAcentral.
ACAGAGGUGGCGAGCGUUGUUCGGAAUUACUGGGCUUAAAGGGCGCGUAGGCGGUGGCGCAAGUCUGGGGUGGAAUUUCACAGCUCAACUGUGGAAUUGCCUUGGAAACUGCGUUACUUGAGUCGGACAGGGGAAGGCGGAAUUCCUGGUGUAGCGGUGGUAGGGGUCGAGAUAGGGAGGGAGGCGUGGGGUGAUGGCGAGCUAAUGGGUAUGGACCGACGGUAGGGCGGGUGAGUGUGGGGAGGAAAGUG